UACGGGGGGGGCAAGCGUUGUUCGGAAUUACUGGGCGUAAAGGGCUCGUAGGCGGCCAACUAAGUCAGACGUGAAAUCCCUCGGCUUAACCGGGGAACUGCGUCUGAUACUGGAUGGCUUGAGGUUGGGAGAGGGAUGCGGAAUUCCAGGUGUAGCGGUGAAAUGCGCAGAUAUCAGGAGGAACACCGGUGGCGAGGGCGGCUCUCUGGGACGGUACUGACGCUGAGACGCGAAAGCGUGGGGAGCGAACAGG
This 253-nucleotide ribosomal RNA is filed under the name uncultured bacterium. RNAcentral describes it as "partial 16S ribosomal RNA". It matches the Rfam family "Bacterial small subunit ribosomal RNA", at positions 524 to 776 of the family's 1533-position model. The record is from RNAcentral.